RNAcentral lists this ribosomal RNA (251 nucleotides) under uncultured prokaryote. RNAcentral describes it as "partial 16S rRNA". It matches the Rfam family "Bacterial small subunit ribosomal RNA", at positions 525 to 775 of the family's 1533-position model. The record is from RNAcentral.
ACGUAGGGUGCAAGCGUUGUCCGGAAUCACUGGGCGUAAAGCGCACGCAGGCGGUUCGGUAAGUCGGCUGUGAAAUCUCCGGGCUCAACCCCGGAACUGCCAUUGAUACUACUGAACUUGAGUAUGGUGGAGGGAAGCGGAAUCUCUCAUGUAGCGGUGAAAUGCGUAGAUAUGGGGAAGAACACCAAUGGCGAAGGCAGCUUCCUGGGGGGCAACUGACGCUGAUGUGCGAAAGCUGGGGGAGCAAACGG